This 425-nucleotide ribosomal RNA is filed under the name uncultured bacterium. RNAcentral describes it as "partial 16S ribosomal RNA". It matches the Rfam family "Bacterial small subunit ribosomal RNA", at positions 354 to 796 of the family's 1533-position model. The record is from RNAcentral.
GUGGGGAAUCUUGCGCAAUGGGCGAAAGCCUGACGCAGCCAUGCCGCGUGAAUGAUGAAGGUCUUAGGAUUGUAAAAUUCUUUCACCGGGGACGAUAAUGACGGUACCCGGAGAAGAAGCUCCGGCUAACUUCGUGCCAGCAGCCGCGGUAAUACGAAGGGGGCUAGCGUUGCUCGGAAUUACUGGGCGUAAAGGGCGCGUAGGCGGACAGCUUAGUCAGAGGUGAAAGCCCAGGGCUCAACCUUGGAAUUGCCUUUGAUACUGGCUGUCUUGAGUACGGGAGAGGUGAGUGGAACUCCGAGUGUAGAGGUGAAAUUCGUAGAUAUUCGGAAGAACACCAGUGGCGAAGGCGACUCACUGGCCCAAUACUGACGCUGAGGCGCGAAAGCGUGGGGAGCAAACAGGAUUAGAUACCCGGGUAGUCC